RNAcentral lists this long non-coding RNA (682 nucleotides) under Fukomys damarensis (Damara mole-rat). Its description in RNAcentral is "lncRNA (ENSFDAG00000030587.1)". Lineage: Eukaryota; Metazoa; Chordata; Mammalia; Rodentia; Bathyergidae. The record is from RNAcentral.
CAGGAGGGUAUGAACUCUAACUUCUGCUGCUUAAUGGUGGCUCUGAGUUCCCAGUUCGAUGGUUCAGAUGUGAGGCGCUGCUGUGCAUCAGGUGACUGUGUUAGUAAGUGCUUACAAGAGCCUGUAGGCUUGGGCCAAGGCUCCUCAAAAGACUGCACAUACUCUCAAUCAGAUUUAAUCCAGGACACAAGAAUUUACAAGAUUGGCCCACACUGGACGCCCACAGAGUCAGAUGUGAAAGAACUGAAAGAUCUGUCUAUGCAGUACAUACUGAAAGAUCUAGCCGAGGGCCUGCAGCCCAGGGAAAUGUCCUGCAGGAGUCUGCAUCAGGAGGCUGAAGGACCCCAGACAAAAGACAGAGGGGUCUGCACCAGGAGGUCAAAGGAUCAGUGCUAGAAGCUAAAGAGUGUGUGGAAAGACAGGAGACAAUGUCCCAGGGGAAGGCAAAGAACAGAGCUCCUCCUCCGAAGAAAACUACCAAAGCUCCUCCUCUUAGGAAAAUCAGCCGCAACAAAGCUCUUCAAGGAAAAUCAGCUGAAAUCUUUCCCUCACAUUCUCCCUUGCACACCUUUCCACAACAGUCCUGAAGGUGAGGCCUCCAGGCCCAGAACCAUGCUGACUCAAUUCAGCUGGGCCUGCCCCACUCAAGCUGACUAUCAGUUCAUUCACCACCCCAGUACCC